This 463-nucleotide ribosomal RNA is filed under the name uncultured bacterium. RNAcentral's name for it is "partial 16S ribosomal RNA". It matches the Rfam family "Bacterial small subunit ribosomal RNA", at positions 28 to 507 of the family's 1533-position model. The record is from RNAcentral.
GAUGAACGCUGACAGAAUGCUUAACACAUGCAAGUCUUUGGCGAAGCUGUGCUUGCACAGCCUAGCCAAGGCGGACGGGUGAGUAACGCGUAAGGAACUUGCCCUGCAGUCAGGGAUAACAGACGGAAACGACUGAUAAGACCUGGUAAAGUCAGGCGGACUCAUGUCCAGCCUGAUGAAAAGAGAUGCUGCAGGAGAGCCUUGCGUCCUAUUAGCUUGUUGGUGGGGUAACGGCCCACCAAGGCGAUGAUAGGUAGCCGGCCUGAGAGGGUGGACGGCCAAAAGGGGAAUGAGAUACGGCACUUAAUCCUACGGGAGGCAGCAGUGGGGAAUAUUGGACAAAGGGGGCAACCCUGAUCCAGAAAUUCUGUGUGCACGAUGAAGGUUUUCGGAUUGUAAAGUGCUUUCAGCAGGGAAGAAAAAAAUGACGGUACCUGCAGAAGAAGCGACGGCUAAAUACGUG